AUGAUUGAGAGGUCAACCAACCUUGACUGGUACAAGGGACCAACUCUUCUUGAGGCUCUUGACCAGAUCAACGAGCCCAAGAGGCCAUCAGACAAGCCCCUUCGUCUUCCACUUCAGGAUGUCUACAAGAUUGGUGGUAUUGGAACGGUGCCAGUGGGACGUGUUGAGACUGGUAUGAUCAAGCCUGGUAUGGUUGUUACCUUUGCUCCCACAGGGUUGACCACUGAGGUUAAGUCUGUUGAGAUGCACCACGAGUCUCUUCUUGAGGCACUUCCCGGUGACAAU
Molecule: long non-coding RNA, 285 nt
Filed under: Arabidopsis thaliana (thale cress)
Lineage: Eukaryota; Viridiplantae; Streptophyta; Magnoliopsida; Brassicales; Brassicaceae
Description: long non-coding RNA (ATHA_LNC000505)
Source: RNAcentral